This 638-nucleotide ribosomal RNA is filed under the name uncultured bacterium. Its description in RNAcentral is "bacterial SSU rRNA". It matches the Rfam family "Bacterial small subunit ribosomal RNA", at positions 28 to 674 of the family's 1533-position model. The record is from RNAcentral.
GAUGAACGCUGGCGGCGUGCCUAAUACAUGCAAGUCGAACGAGGUGCUUUUGUAGCAAUACGAGAGUAUCCUAGUGGCGAACGGGUGAGUAACACGUUGGUGACCUACCCCAAAGUGUGGGAUAACAGUCCGAAAGGAUUGCUAAUACCGCAUGUGGUCCUUGGCUUUAGAAACCGAUGACUAAAGGAGCAAUUCGCUUUGGGAGGGACCUGCGUCCCAUCAGCUAGUUGGUGAGGUAAUGGCUCACCAAGGCGACGACGGGUAGGGGACCUGAGAGGGUGGCCCCCCACAAUGGAACUGAAACACGGUCCAUACACCUACGGGUGGCAGCAGUAGGGAAUAUUGCACAAUGGGCGAAAGCCUGAUGCAGCAACGCCGCGUGUGCGAUGAAGGCCUUCGGGUCGUAAAGCACUUUUCUGAGAGAUGAGAAAGGACAGUAUCUCAGGAAUAAGUCUCGGCUAACUACGUGCCAGCAGCCGCGGUAAUACGUAGGAGGCGGGCGUUAUCCGGAAUUACUGGGCGUAAAGCGUGCGCAGGCGGUCUCGGUAAGUUGGAUAUGAAAUCUCCUGGCUUAACCUGGGAGAGGCUAUUCAAUACUACCGGACUAGAGAGUGGUAGAGGAAGAUGGAAUUCCAGGU